This is a non-coding RNA of Nelumbo nucifera (sacred lotus), 130 nucleotides long. The record is from RefSeq and is a predicted model, not a curated record. Lineage: Eukaryota; Viridiplantae; Streptophyta; Magnoliopsida; Proteales; Nelumbonaceae.
GAGAAUGGAGAUGUUAAGGUUGCUGAUUUUGGUGUUUCUGCACAACUAACAAGGACAAUCUCGAGAAGAAAGACAUUUGUAGGAACACCAUUCUGGAUGGCUCCAGAAGUAAUUCAAAAUUCAGAUGGAU